AUUGAACGCUGGCGGCAUGCCUUACACAUGCAAGUCGAGCGGGGAAAAGUAGCUUGCUACUGGACCUAGCGGCGGACGGGUGAGUAAUGCUUAGGAAUCUGCCUAUUAGUGGGGGACAACAUCUCGAAAGGGAUGCUAAUACCGCAUACGUCCUACGGGAGAAAGCAGGGGACCUUCGGGCCAUGCGCUAAUAGAUGAGCCUAAGUCGGAUUAGCUAGUUGGUGGGGUAAAGGCCUACCAAGGCGACGAUCUGUAGCGGGUCUGAGAGGAUGAUCCGCCACACUGGGACGGAGACACGGCCCAGACUCCUACGGGAGGCAGCAGUGGGGAAUAUUGGACAAUGGGGGGAACCCUGAUCCAGCCAUGCCGCGUGUGUGAAGAAGGCCUUUUGGUUGUAAAGCACUUUAAGCGAGGAGGAGGCUACCGAGAUUAAUACUCUUGGAUAGUGGACGUUACUCGCAGAAUAAGCACCGGCUAACUCUGUGCCAGCCGCCGCGGUAA
RNAcentral lists this ribosomal RNA (501 nucleotides) under uncultured bacterium. Its description in RNAcentral is "partial 16S ribosomal RNA". It matches the Rfam family "Bacterial small subunit ribosomal RNA", at positions 30 to 523 of the family's 1533-position model. The record is from RNAcentral.